CUUCUUCUUUUUUAUUCCUCUCAUAUCCGUACGUUUCCAUCCAGUAUGCACAUACAAUACACCACAUAACUCAAGAAUCCCAAACUAAAAAAAAUAUUAAUAGUGCCAAUAACAACUUAAGCGAGGGGAAAAAACGGGGGACAAACAUAUUUUUGGUAAAAGGCUAGCGGCAGGAUCCUUGACCACCACUUUACAGCCCUGUGAUUAGUGGUUGCAGUUGCGGUGAGUUGAUCCUCCUCUUUCUGAGGCGCUCGGCGAUAAUGAAGGCGAGCUCAAGAGAUUGGGAGGCAUUCAAACGAGGGUCACAGUGGGUAUGGUAGCGUGAACCCAAGUCAUCGAAUGUAACAGUCCGGGAUCCCCCGAUGCAUUCUGUCACAUUCUGUCCAGUCAUCUCUAGAUGAACUCCUCCAGGAUGACUUCCCUCUUGCUCGUGCACGUCAAAGAAAGCUCUCACUUCAGCCUGUCGAAAAUGGAUGUGAAUUAAUUAUGUUAUUGAAAAUUAGACAAACGGAUUGGCUACUACCAUCUAAAUAAUUGGAAGCCAUAGUAAAGUAGGAGAAUAAAACAGUGGUAGCAAAAUUCAAUUGAGAAUCAUCAGGAAUAGUUUAGAUAAUCUUUAAAUAGAUUUUAUAUUGCAAUAUGGGUUUUGAAUCAAUCAUGAGUCGGGGAAAUAUGACCACCUACCAACUGAAAACAUAUUCUUCCCCGAAAAUUAUUAUAAUCAUUACUUUAAGUAAUCUCAUUUCAUGAUUUGUUCCAAACAACUUUUAAGAAAUCUUCUCUUUCUCACCUACCACACCAUCAUAUAUUUGAACUGAAAACUCUCCUCGAAAAUAGACUAAUUUUUUUAAGAUGCAAAAUGCAACCACCCAAAUGGAUUGUUUUGGUUUCUUCACAACGUGAUUGCUGUAAUGAGUGAACCUUCGAUUUUAGAAUCAAGUUUAACCCCACCAUGAUAAUAUGUUUGACUUCAAACUCUACCUAGAAAAUGUCAAACUUUUCCUUUUGAAAGGACAAAAUGAGGCCACCCGAGGGAUUUAACAUUGAAGCAAUUAUCAAUAGCCACUCCUCCUUUACUUUAUGACAAGAGGCAGAGAAAAUGCUUCUAAAACUAAAACAUUGAAGCACUUAUGCAUGGAUUCAAGAUGCAAACAAAUUGUAGCCCAUCUUUUCGAGCAUCACAUGUUAGUCUAUCUUAAAAUGUUCACAAUGAUAAACAUUUAUUCAAAUUAUGGUCCUCAGUUACUAUGACCCUUCCCUUUUUUGAACAAGGUAAUAAUUUUAUCAUAAAAAGACCUGUCAUUUGUCAUUUCAUAUCGUGAGAAAGUAUUUAAUUGGACUCGAUAAAUUGCAGGAGUCCCUAAUUCAAAGGGGUAACUGAAUAACACACAAAAUGACAAUUUAAGUCCAAUGAAUUAUCAGUAAUUAAUCCUUCAAAGUAAGAGGUUGAGUAAUGAUUAACAUACCCUUAUGGAAUCGAAGGGGCGAGUUUUGAGACCACAAGGAGCCUUGAUGGUGUUUCCAUGCAUAGGGUCACUGACCCAAGUGACAAUUUGCCCAGCACGACGCACUGCCCUAAUUAGAUGGGGAAGCUUCACUCUCAUAUUCUCAGCACCCAUUCUUGUGAUAACUGUAAUCCUUCCAGCUUUGUUCUGAGGGUUCAAAAUUUCAAUCAGCUUUACUAGUUCAUUCGG
This 1694-nucleotide long non-coding RNA is filed under the name Gossypium raimondii (Peruvian cotton). RNAcentral's name for it is "long non-coding RNA (GRAI_LNC007080)". The record is from RNAcentral. Lineage: Eukaryota; Viridiplantae; Streptophyta; Magnoliopsida; Malvales; Malvaceae.